GACGAACGCUGGCGGCGUGCUUAACACAUGCAAGUCGAACGGAAAGGCCCUGCUUUUGUGGGGUGCUCGAGUGGCGAACGGGUGAGUAACACGUGAGUAACCUGCCCUUGACUUUGGGAUAACUUCAGGAAACUGGGGCUAAUACCGGAUAGGAGCUCCUGCUGCAUGGUGGGGGUUGGAAAGUUUCGGCGGUUGGGGAUGGACUCGCGGCUUAUCAGCUUGUUGGUGGGGUAGUGGCUUACCAAGGCUUUGACGGGUAGCCGGCCUGAGAGGGUGACCGGCCACAUUGGGACUGCGGUACGGCCCAGACUCCAACGGGAGGCAGCAGUGGGGAAUAUUGCACAAUGGGCGGAAGCCUGAUGCAGCAACGCCGCGUGCGGGAAGACGGCCUUCGGGUUGUAAACCGCUUUCGCCUGUGACGAAGCGUGAGUGACGGUAAUGGGUAAAGAAGCACCGGCUAACUACGUG
Molecule: ribosomal RNA, 468 nt
Filed under: uncultured bacterium
Lineage: Bacteria
Description: partial 16S ribosomal RNA
Rfam family: Bacterial small subunit ribosomal RNA
Source: RNAcentral